AAUGCCUAUAAAAGCUAAGCUUGCAAAAGCAUAUGUAUAUCAGUGUAAACAAUCUCUUCUACCAAAAAAUAUCGGAGGAGAGCUAGGCAGCCAGGUUAGGUCUUUGUGUGACACAGCAGAGCUUUGAAAGUGUUGAUGAUGCUUAGUUUGAGGCUACAUGGGUGUCAUUGUGUGUUUGUGCUUCUCUAUGCUUAUAUCUGUGGGAAGAAUAUGAAUGGGCUGGCUUAGAGUCUGCUGGAAGUCUUAAAUGGGAAUACACACUGAAGGGCUUGGGUAGUGAGGUUGAUGCCAGCAAACAAUACCUUUGGAAUUCUGAGCUUCUUUCUUAAGCAACCCAAUACCAGAGAUCUCAGGAUUCAUAUACUGAAAUGAUCUUAUUCCAUAUCUAGUGUUCUUUGUACUAGUGUCAAGAAAAGGAGAGGAGAAUUUCAGUACAUAGUGAUGAGUCAACAGCAUUCAAUCUUGAACAAUGCCUACAUUGACCAACAACUCCCCCCAAGGACUCUAGAUUUGUCAAAAAAAAGUUGUCUUCGAUCUCUUAAGAGAUUUAUUUUGUAGUGGUUUUUAUUACUGCUCACUUUAAAGAAACAGAAUCUCUGAAUGGAUAUUAGACUUCUUCCAAGAAGACUGUAGACUGCUUUUGGCUCUCUGAUAUUUGCGAUCUCUUCUUGAUGACAGUCUUUUCCAGCACUGGUUUUCUACCACCCAGGGCAAAAUAGAGGCAAUGAGGUGGCACUGAGGAUAGAGAUCUGGACCGGAAGCCAGCAAGACUUGCAUUCAAAUGACGCUUUCUAGCUAUGUCACUCUGGAGCCAUCCAAGUCCAGUGGCAGAACCAGUGGUGAUGGCCCGGGAUGCAGUGGGUGACCAUGGCACCCUCAGCUUCUGACCAAGCUCUGAGCGCUUUACUGUGCCUGCUGCCGCUACCUCCAGGAAUGGUGAAACAAAUUGUCCUUCUCCCUCUAAUCCUCUGGGGCACGUCUCUAGUGACUUGGGGAGAUUGGAAUGGUAGAUAGCAUGGAAGAGAGAAGUUGGGAAAGUGUGCAAAAGACAGAAGCAGUGGAGGCUGAUGACCUGUCAGUCAAACGAAUGUUCUAUUUGGAAUGAUACUGAGAGAAAACAGUUGGAAGGAAAGAAACAGACCAACUGAGCGGUUAUGUCUUUUAACCUUGGAGACAGAAAGGAGUGGUGGUCUCUAGUGACUUUGAAGGCAGAAGAAGAAGGACAAUUGUCCAGAUAUCUCUCUGACUUGCUCUGUUGUGAUAGGGACUGAACUUCCAGACAUAUCAGCCAUUUCUCUCAAUUUGAACUAUAUUCCAACAUCCUCCAAUCUAGGACUCACUGUAGUAUUAGGGAAAUCCUCAACCCUCUUACCUACACCCCUUCCUGUCUUCCCCAAAUAAAUCCCUUACUUAAGAUAAAGAAGAGAAAGAG
RNAcentral lists this long non-coding RNA (1432 nucleotides) under Monodelphis domestica (gray short-tailed opossum). Its description in RNAcentral is "lncRNA (ENSMODG00000050718.1)". The record is from RNAcentral. Lineage: Eukaryota; Metazoa; Chordata; Mammalia; Didelphimorphia; Didelphidae.